This 429-nucleotide ribosomal RNA is filed under the name Pseudomonadota bacterium. RNAcentral describes it as "Proteobacteria bacterium partial 16S ribosomal RNA". It matches the Rfam family "Bacterial small subunit ribosomal RNA", at positions 355 to 776 of the family's 1533-position model. Lineage: Bacteria; Pseudomonadati; Pseudomonadota. The record is from RNAcentral.
UGGGGAAUAUUGGACAAUGGGCGAAAGCCUGAUCCAGCCAUGCCGCGUGUGUGAAGAAGGUCUUCGGAUUGUAAAGCACUUUAAGUUGGGAGGAAGGGCAGUAAGCGAAUACCUUGCUGUUUUGACGUUACCGACAGAAUAAGCACCGGCUAACUCUGUGCCAGCAGCCGCGGUAAUACAGAGGGUGCGAGCGUUAAUCGGAUUUACUGGGCGUAAAGCGUGCGUAGGCGGCUAAUUGAGUCGGAUGUGAAAUCCCCGAGCUUAACUUGGGAAUUGCAUUCGCUACUGGUUAGCUAGAGUGUGGGAGAGGAUGGUAGAAUUCCAGGUGUAGCGGUGAAAUGCGUAGAGAUCUGGAGGAAUACCGAUGGCGAAGGCAGCCAUCUGGCCUAACACUGACGCUGAGGUACGAAAGCAUGGGGAGCAAACAGG